UGGGGAAUAUUGGGCAAUGGGGGAAACCCUGACCCAGCAACGCCGCGUGAAGGAAGAAGGCUUUCGGGUUGUAAACUUCUUUUACCAGGGACGAAGAAAGUGACGGUACCUGGAGAAAAAGCCACGGCUAACUACGUGCCAGCAGCCGCGGUAAUACGUAGGUGGCAAGCGUUGUCCGGAUUUACUGGGUGUAAAGGGCGUGUAGGCGGAGGAUCAAGUCAGAUGUGAAAUCUAGGGGCUUAACCCCUAAACUGCAUUUGAAACUGACCCCCUUGAGUAUCGGAGAGGCAGGCGGAAUUCCUAGUGUAGCGGUGAAAUGCGUAGAUAUUAGGAGGAACACCAGUGGCGAAGGCGGCCUGCUGGACGACAACUGACGCUGAGGCGCGAAAGCGUGGGGAGCAAACAGG
RNAcentral lists this ribosomal RNA (407 nucleotides) under uncultured bacterium. Its description in RNAcentral is "bacterial SSU rRNA". It matches the Rfam family "Bacterial small subunit ribosomal RNA", at positions 355 to 776 of the family's 1533-position model. The record is from RNAcentral.